Molecule: transfer RNA, 19 nt
Filed under: Leptodon corsicus
Lineage: Eukaryota; Viridiplantae; Streptophyta; Bryopsida; Hypnales; Leptodontaceae
Also listed under: 1 other name
Description: partial transfer RNA-Phe
Source: RNAcentral
GGGAUAGCUCAGUUGGUAG